GGGAACGCGGGGGCCGCGCUCGCCUCGCCACCCCGGCAGGGACCCGCGGCCUUCGCCGCCCUUCCCGUGCCGGCUUGCGAAACCGGAUCGCUUCCCUUUUCCUGGAGACGCGUUCCCUUUUCUAAGAACGGCCCCGACGCGGGGAAGCGUCGCUGCACGCCCCCUCUCCCGCAGAGGGAUGUGCCCGAGGCAGGAGCGGCACCGGCGUCGCCACGGCAGGGAGGGGAUGGGAACGGGAGAGCGUCCGGUGCACCUGGCAGGCAGAAGAACACAUCCUUUUGCUAAAACCAGCUGUGGCUGGUACCACAGGGGCUGUGACAGGAAACCAGGCAAAGGCAAACUGGGUUUGCCCACAUCAGUUUGGGGAACACGAGCACCCCAAACUCGGGCCUGGAGGUUGGACAGCCCAGCCUCAACCUCUGGAUCCAGCCUCCUCCAGGGAGCUUUGCUUCCCCUGUGGCACCCACUUGCUGAGGAGCCAAAUGGACAGCACAGCAGGAAGCAGCACUAAACACAACAGGGGAGCCCAGCAUGGAUUGGCUAUAAAACUCUCUGCCUUCAUUUUAUUGCCUUUGGUAAAGCUUGGUAAAUAUUUCUGGGACAGGCAACUCCUUGUCUGGCUUUAAUUACCUGGGCAAAUUUUCCUAAGGAUUAUAUUGACCUCAAAUAUGUCAACGUUUA
Haemorhous mexicanus (house finch) is the source of this 681-nucleotide long non-coding RNA. RefSeq lists it as uncharacterized. The transcript has 2 exons. Lineage: Eukaryota; Metazoa; Chordata; Aves; Passeriformes; Fringillidae. The record is from RefSeq and is a predicted model, not a curated record.